RNAcentral lists this transfer RNA (66 nucleotides) under Cautires sp. UPOL A00078. RNAcentral describes it as "tRNA-Phe". The record is from RNAcentral. Lineage: Eukaryota; Metazoa; Arthropoda; Insecta; Coleoptera; Lycidae.
AUAUUUUAAAGCAAAAUUGCCUUCUUAAUAUCUUCAAUAUUAUACUUUAUAUAAGCUAUUAAAAUA